RNAcentral lists this long non-coding RNA (239 nucleotides) under Elaeis guineensis (African oil palm). Its description in RNAcentral is "long non-coding RNA (EGUI_LNC017641)". Lineage: Eukaryota; Viridiplantae; Streptophyta; Magnoliopsida; Arecales; Arecaceae. The record is from RNAcentral.
AGCGGCCAGGAGAGAUCAACCUUGAUGCAAGCCCAGGCAAACUCAACUCUCCUCUUCUUCGCCAUACAUUCAUCCACUGAUGGAAACUUGCUAACCAGAUGUACGAGUCUUUGCAGCAUCGCCUCGCCCCAAAACUCCAUUGGGAGUUCCGACAGUCAGAUCUACACCAUGGUCGCAUUGAUUGCCCCCUUCGACGGGAAGAAAUCAGGGUGCCAGGGCUCCACUGCCACCAUCUGUCC